RNAcentral lists this ribosomal RNA (505 nucleotides) under uncultured bacterium. Its description in RNAcentral is "partial 16S ribosomal RNA". It matches the Rfam family "Bacterial small subunit ribosomal RNA", at positions 28 to 507 of the family's 1533-position model. The record is from RNAcentral.
GACGAACGCUGGCGGCGUGCCUAAUACAUGCAAGUAGAACGCACAGUUUAUACCGUAGCUUGCUACACCAUAGACUGUGAGUUGCGAACGGGUGAGUAACGCGUAGGUAACCUGCCUGGUAGCGGGGGAUAACUAUUGGAAACGAUAGCUAAUACCGCAUAAUAUUGAUUAUUGCAUGAUAAUUGAUUGAAAGAUGCUAUUGCAUCACUACCAGAUGGACCUGCGUUGUAUUAGCUAGUAGGUGAGGUAACGGCUCACCUAGGCGACGAUACAUAGCCGACCUGAGAGGAGGAUCGGCCACACUGGGACUGAGACACGGCCCAGACUCCUACGGGAGGCAGCAGUAGGGAAUCUUCGGAAAUGGACGAAAGUCUGACCGAGCAACGCCGCGUGAGUGAAGAAGGGUUUCGGAUCGUAAAGCUCUGUUGUAAGAGAAGAACGGGUGUGAGAGUGGAAAGUUCACACUGUGACGGUAUCUUACCAGAAAGGGACGGCUAACUACGUG